Molecule: long non-coding RNA, 7968 nt
Filed under: Homo sapiens (human)
Lineage: Eukaryota; Metazoa; Chordata; Mammalia; Primates; Hominidae
Description: non-protein coding lnc-SORCS3-18:1
Source: RNAcentral
AGAUAUUAGGACUACCAGCAGAGGGAGGGAGCUACCCACAUCCAGUCUCCUCCAUAGGACAACCUGUCUGCUGAAAGGGGCUACCCACUACAAGUCUCCUCUCUUCUGAAAGCUGGAGACUCCUCAGGAUGAUCUGCCCGUGGAAAUGAGCUACCCACUUCAGGUAUCCUGAGAGCUGUUCUGCCGCUCAGUGAAGCUCCUCUGUGCCUAGCUAGCUCUCCAGUUGUGUGUGCCUCCUUCUUCCUGGAUGUGGGACAAGAACUUGGGACCUGCUGAAUGGUGGGACUGAAAGAGCUGUAACACAAACAGGACUGAAACACUCCCCUGUCCAACUCACGCUGUGUGCGACAAGAAGAAGAGAAGACUUGUGGCUUUUCAGGGAACCCAGACCUAGGGGCUCCCCAAGCCAGGGAUGUAACACUCUUUUGGGGGCUCUGUGGUUUCUGGCGUCUCCAAGCUUUUGGGUGCCACCGCAUCUCCCCGUCCCGGACGCCUGUGCCUGCAGCAAGCCGCUUGCAGUACGUCUUGUCCAGCUGCAGCCUCACAUGGAGCCGGCGCCUGUGCCAAUGCCUAGAGCUGCCUGUCCCGCCACAGCAGCCAGGCAGCUCUAGGCACUGGCUGUGCCUGGCUGUGCGCAAUGGCCGAACCCUGUACGCGCUCACCAGCAUAUUCCUUGCCGCUCUGCACCUGACUCGCCCUUGGUAGGCGUGGGAUCCAGGCCAGUUACACAGACUGAGUGCAGCCUGCCAAGCUGAGUGGGCAGCAGGGGCCAGUGGGCACAAGCAACACUUAGGCAGAAGGUGCCACCAGCCACAGAGGUUUCCGGCUGGCAAAGUGACACCCCAAGGAUCCUGUGACAGAGUGCUUUAGGGCUUCUCUUUGCCAUAUCCAAAUUGCCAGCAACACUACUUUUGCGCUUUCGGGAAUAUCGCUGACUGAAAUAAAAUGAGAGUUUUAUUAAAAAGGAAGAACAGUAGAGGAGAUAAUGGAAGUCAGUCAGCCAUGUCUGCCACACCUAUGAUGGUCUCAUGCAGAUAAGCUAAAAUUAAAUAAAAUAAGGUUCAUUCUAACGCAAGUACUGCAAUCCCAUGACAGUUGAUCAGAUAAUUGAGACAGCUGCUAAGUGACUAAUGGGUGGGGAACAGAGACAGGAUGGAUAGGCUACACAAAGGUAUGAUUCACAUCCUGGGUAGGAAAGAGCCAGAAGGCAUGAAAUUUCAUCAUGCUAUUCAGAACAGAACACAAUUUAAAAUUUAUGAAUUGUUUAUUUCUGUCCUGUUCUGUUUAAUAUUCUCAGAGCACUGUUGAUUAUGAGUAACUGAAAUCUUGGAAAGUGAAAGCACAGAUAAGGGGAGACUACUGUAUAUUUAAGGUAUUCAACUUGAUGCUAUGAGAUACAUACAUAUAAAAUAGUCACUUUAGUGGCACAAUUUAACAUAUCUACAUCUCACACAGUUACCUAUUUUCUCCCCUGUGACAAAAGGAACUAUAAUCUACUCAUUUAGCAAAAGUCCUGAACACAAUACACUAUUAACUCUAGUUCUCAUGUUGUACAUUCCAAUUUUCCACCUGUUUAUCCUACAUAUUUGCUACUUUGUAUCCCUGGAGCUACAUUACCGCAUUUCACCCCCACCCUAUCCUGACCCUGAUCACCACUGUUUUAUUUUCUAUCUUUAUAUCAUUUGAUGUUUUUAAAAAUAGAGUUUACAUAUAAGUGAGAUCAUAUAUUUUUCUUUUCGUGUCUGGCUUACUUCAUUUAGCCCAAUUAAAAUUCGAUUUGUAUCAGUAUCUUUAGAAAGCAACUCAUCUGAGAAGUCUUCUCUUGCUUCCUUCCUGGGGGGUCCUGUUGCCCUUUCUUUGUGCUUUCGUAGUGGCACCAUGACUCUCCUCUCAGCUGGUAUCAUGUUGCAGGGCAAACAUCUGUCUGUCUCCUCUCACUGGAUGAUAAGAUACUUGAAGGAAGGGAUUGUAUCUAUUUUUUGGACCGUCAAAACCACGACUAUAAUACCUCAAUAAGCAUUUGCUCAAUGAGUAAAUGAGUAUAUGAAUAAAUUAGUGUUAUUUGCUUCAUGGCCUGGAUUCCUCCAUAGCAGAACCUUAUCUGCAUGAGACCAGCAUAGGUGUGGCAGGUAUGACUGAUUGACUUCCCAAUAUCUCUUCUAUUCUUCUUCCCUUUUAAUUAUAUUUCAGUCAAUGGUAGUGCCAACUAAAAUAUUCAUUUUCUAGUUUUUUUUUUUUUUUUAAAAAACUAGAAAGUUUAAAUGACAGUGCUUGCCAAUGAAUAUAAGGAAAUAUGUGUUGGAAAUUUUUGGAAAUAUGUUGCUUUUUUAACGCAAGCAUUAUCACUUCUUGUUGCUUCCCUCUUUUUUUCUGCCUAUAAUGCUGACACAGGGCAAGAAAAGAAGUCUUUCUGCAAGAUGAGAGAGAGAAAUCCAUGUGCUAAGGUAGAGGGAGAUAGAAGGAGCCUGGUUCUUUGAGCAGCCAGGAUUACCUAGCCCUACAUGAUUAAAAAUGGAGCAGCCAGGAUUACCUAGCCCUCCUUUUGAACAAGCCAUUAUAAUGGAUUUCUUUUAUAUACAGCCUAAUAAAAUCCAUAACUGAUAGCACUUAAAAGAUUGCUUGAACUAAUUGCUUUGGAUAGAACAAAUGAAUAGGUAUAUAACUAUGGUAAUGAGCAGGAAAGUUUCUGCUUUGGUCCCCAAACCUAAUGCCUAUAGGAUUCGGGAUCUAUUUCUAGGUAAAAAUGAUGAUUUUGUCUUGUACCUUGCUGGGAUUCAGUGAUCCUUUGUGUUAAGUUCUAUAAUGCAGAAAUGCCCGUGGACUGCUAUGCCAGAUUCUUCUAUGAUAAUACUCUCUCCAAGACUGUGUCUUUUAAACAUGCACAAAUUCAUGCUCAAUCCCAUUUCUGACUUGAGAUAUAGAUAAUAUGUGUAGAAGAAGGCAACAUUGAACUAAAAAUGAGAAGUUUUCUAUUUCAGCCUUACUCUUUUGCCACCUGAUGGUCAAGUUAUAUAAUUUUUUAAUGAGUUUAAAAUCACGGCAGGGAAGCUGCAACCACCUGUCACCAAAUUUCUACUGCAAUUGUGACCAAAGCCUGAAAUUAAAACUCUUUUGACUGUUUCCCCAUUUACCCUUCCAAGUGCAGCCUACUGAGACUCAUGGAAUUAGCAUCUUAAAGAAACCCACACAUCCCUUCACACUCCUGAAAACCACUGCCAACCACCCCUGCUUUCUCACAAUUGUUCUCCAGGACUGCCUGUCUAUAGCUGUCACCAUUAUUCAUGCAACGCCCCCACCGAGCAGAGAUGGAGAGAGAGAUUGAGUUUGCUCACCAGUAAGUUGAGCUGUAAACUCAGGAAAAUUGGGCUUCGCAAGGAUGGAGAGCCUAGAGCUUUGACAGGCUGUGCUUCUGAGGAGACAUGGAGUAAACCGCAUUCUCUUUAUUCAUCACUUAGUGAAAGAAAGAAACACCCUUUGUGAAGUUGUCUCCACAGAGGUAUAGCACCUAUGGCCACUUUUCCUUGGGGACCUUUAGAAACAAACAAACAAGGCUGCUUCCCCGUCACUGUGUAGAGAGUUCAUGCUUUUAAUCACAAGGCAUAUGUAGGUGAUAAGCUCUCAAUGGUAAAUGUCUCAAAAAUUAUAUCUGUAGACCAGAUGUUUGUCACAGCUACUGACCCUUAAGAUGUAGGCAAGAUUGCCUUAAGUGUAGGACACACAUGAUUUCAUGGCCUUUGGGAGUCCACAGCUCUCCCAAAAGAUUUCUGUGAAUUUCCAUGUGGGUUUCAGCUUCCUUGAUUUCCCCUGCUUUGGGGGGCUGGUAAUUUUUCUCUUUUUUCUUGAAUUCUGAUCCAGAACAAAGCUUAGUCCUUUAAUGCUUUACUCAUCAAUACCCCAACUGCAUACUUAAUUCACUCAUUUUACAUCAGUGAAGACUUAGAGAUCAUGAACAAAAUAUUACAUAUGGAAAUCAUACAGUAAUCAACAUCUUAGUCUUUAUUAGACACUUUUCCUCCCGAAGGAUGUUUCAGCACUCUACAGCUCAGUAUCCAGGCCUAGUCUUCUCUUCUUUGCUAAUUUCUCAUUUUCUCCUCUAGUCAGCCUCCUUCUUUGUUCUAGACUCACCACUAGAUGCUAAUCAGGGAGUAAUGUCGGGCGAGACCAUUGCAGCUGUGCAUCACCAGAUCCUUGAAACCAGACAGACCCCCAAAUUCUGGAUUUCUGUGUGUGUAUGUGCAUCUGUGUGUUGUUGGAUGUGUCAGUAAGGAUCUCUCUGUUCAGAAUAGACUGUGAGUUUUAGAAAUUAUGAACACAAGGUACCAGACAUUCUAAUAUGCUAUAAUCCAAACCACAUUUUCUAGAUUUACUUUUACCUCCUGAAUGGGAUCAAAAUCUAUCAUCAGAUUGGCUUUACACCACUUACACACUUACAGAGUGACUUUACACCACUCCACCCACUGGCCACCUUUCUGAAGCUUGAAUGUUUGUACAGCACCCCACCCCAGCAUAAAAUGGAGAUAAAAAGGAUUUGAAGUUACGACACAUUGAAGUAACAUGGAUUAUUGGAGCUUAAGUCAUUUUUCCAUAUCUUAAACUGGUGUACAAAUAGUCUGCUUUACGAAAACCCCCACACAAGGGAUGUGAAGGACCUCUUUAAGGAGAACUACAAACCACUGCUCAAUGAAAUAAAAAAGGACACAAACAAAUGGAAGAAUAUUCCAUGCUCAUGGAUAGGAAGAAUCAAUAUCGUGAAAAUGGCUAUACUGCCCAAAGUAAUUUAUAGAUUCAAUGCCAUCCCCAUCAAGCUACCAAUGACUUUCUUCACAUAAUUGGAAAAAUCUAUUUUAAACUUCAUAUGGAACAAAAAAAGAGCCCGCAUUACCAAGACAAUCCUAAGCAAAAAGAACAAAGCUGAAGGCAUCAUGCUACCUGACUUCAAACUAUACUACAAGGCUACACUAACCAAAACAGCAUGGUACUGGUACCAAAACAGACAUAUAGACCAAUGGAACAGCACAGAGCCCUCAGAAAUAAUGUUACACAUCUACAACCAUCUGAUCUUUGACAAACCUGACAAAAACAAGAAAUAGGGAAAGGAUUUCCUAUUUAAUAAAUGGUACUGGGAAAACUGGCUAGCCAUAUGUAGAAAGCUGAAACUGGAUCCCUUCCUUACACAAAAAUUAAUUCAAGAUGGAUUAAAGACUUAAAUGUUAGAUCUAAAAUCAUAAAAACUCUAGAAGAAAGCCUAGGCAAUAUCAUUCCAGACAUAGGCAUGGGCAAGGACUUCAUGAUUAAAACACCAAAAGCAAUGGCAACAAAAGCCAAAAUAGACAAAUGAGAUCUAACUAAACUAAAGAGCUUCUGCACAGCGAAAGAAACUACCAUCAGAGUGAACAGGCAACCUACAGAAUGGGAGAAAAUGUUUGCAAUCUAUCCACCUGACAAAGAGCUAAUAUCCAGAAUCUACAAAGACCUCAAACAAAUUUACAAGAAAAAAACAACCCCAUCAAAAAGUGGGCAAAGGAUAUGAACAGACACUUCUCAAAAGAAGACAUCUAUGCAGCCAACAGACACAUGAAAAAACGCUCAUCAUCACUGGUCAUCAGAGAAAUGCAAAUCAAAACCACAAUGAGAUACCAGCUCAUGCCAGUUAGAAUGGCAAUCAUUAAAAAGUCAGGAAACAACAGAUGCUGGAGAGGAUGUGGAGAAAUAGGAACACUUUUACACUGUUGGUGGGAGUGUAAAUUGGUUCCACCAUUGUGGAAGACAGUGUGGUGAUUCCUCAAGGAUCUAGAACCAGAAUUACCAUUUGACUCAGCAAUUCCAUUACUGGGUAUACACCCAAAGGACUAUAAAUCAUGCUACUAUAAAGACACAUGCACACGUGUAUUUAUUACGGCGCUAUUUGCAAUAGCAAAGACUUGGAACCAACCCAAAUGUCCAUCAAUGAGAGACUGGAUUAAGAAAAUGUGGCACAUAUACACCAUAGAAUACUAUGCAGCCAUAAAAAAGGAUGAGUUCAUGUCCUUUGCAGGGACAUGGAUGAAGCUGGAAACCAUCAUUUUCAGCAAACAAUCACAAGGACAGAAAAACAAAUGCUGCAUGUUCUCACUCAUAGGUGGGAAUUGAACAAUAUCACUUGGACACAGGGCGGGGAACAUCACACACCCGUCAGGGGAUGGGGGCUGGGAGAAGGAUAGCAUUAGGAGAAAUACCUAAUGUAAAUGAUGAGUUGAUGGGUGCGGCAAACCAACAUGGCACAUGUAUACCUACGUAUCAAAACAGCACGUUGUGCACAUAUACCCUAGAACUUAAAGUAUAAUAAUAAAAAAAAAGUCCCCACACCAACUCCCUAAGCUUAUACCACUGAGGAAGCUGAGGACUCUUUAUUAGUGUCUUAUAGGCACUGCUAAAAUAAUAUAUCAUAAAUAGGUUUAACAGUAGUCUAAUCUAUUACCCUGCUGGUGUUUGCCAAAAAUAAAGGAAAGUAAACAAAUGAAAUAAAAACAAAAUGAGCAAGUGAAGAAAAAAAUCUAUUUCAUGCAGGUUAUAACAAGAUGUAAUAUAUGUUUUCUCUUUACGAGAGUAUUUGAUGCUCUUUAUAUUAAAGAUUACAACAAUAUGUUAUGUGAAUACGUAAUAAUGUAGCUAUAUUUCCAGUAAUAUAGAAUAAUUUUAGCACUUGUCUGUGCCAGGCAUUUUCCUAAGCAUUCAUAUAAAUUACUUCAUCUAAUUUCACCAUUCAAUGAAAUAGAUAUUCUCAUCAUCCCUAUGUUUCAGAUAAAGAAUCUAAGGCUCAGAGAGAUUAGGUUAAUAACAAAAAGUCAUCAAACUAAAAUGUGCACAACUGAGAUUUAAAAACGUAGAUCUGAAUGAAUAUGGAGUCUACUUUUAACAUUCCUAAAAUUCAGUUUGCAUAAAAAAUUCAUGAAGACAGCUAUUGCAUAAACAUGGCCCAGUGAAUUAGUAAAUGGGGCUAAUAUAUGGAUUAUAGGGUCAAACAAAGCUAGGGAGUAUGUUUCCAGGUAGCACAUCAAUUUCUGUAAAUCCUUGAGAACAUUGGGUACUCAUAGACAGGAUGAGUUCUUAAUCUAAAAUGAAGAAAUAACGGGUGAUCAAUACUUAUAUACUUCUUGAUUAGACCUAAUCUUCAGCAAUAUCCUACCCCGAAUUUCACCUCCAACAACACUACUUUUGUGGGGAAGCUGUUAAUAUAUAAAAGUCCAUCUGUUCACUUGAGAAUAAAGGACCACUCUGCUCCUAAUCCAAUGUCUGUUGCUUUUACAACUUUGAAUACAACAUCAGAGGUUAGCUUUGAUAUUUCCUCAAGUCUUUCUGGCAUUUCUAGUGAAAGAGAGAACCUAAAACGGAGUGUAAUAAACUUUAUUACCCAUCUGCAUCUCAAAUGCAAUAUACAUUAACUAGGAUGCACAUGGAUUUCCAAGUGUGAUUGUAUUUUCUAGUGUGCCUCUCUGGGAGGGAAACUGUCUCAAUCACCAAUAGACCAUAUCUAAAAACUAACAGGUUACUUUGUUGUGACCAACUCUCAUUUCCCAAAGUCUCCACCCAACAUGGACCCUAUUCUGUUGCAUCAGUUGGGUGAACAUUCUCCCGUUUUUGUAUUUUCUUUGCAGCAUGGACAUUGGGUGUGAGCGCGUUUUUUGGAAAAAAAAAAUUCAGUGUUCCAUUAAUGAGAUAAUGUAUUUAUUUAUUAUGACAAUAAACACAGCUGCAAAAUGGACCAUAAAGAAAUAGACGACUUGCAGAUUUCUGUGCCCAACCUGUCAACUGUAAUUGAGAAAUAAAUUAAAUGAUCCAUCUGCUUUGCAUCAUCUACUCCUUUAUUUUUGUCAGUAUCCAUGGUUUUAAAAACUAAUUACUCACUAAAAAAAUCCAUAUAGAAUUUGAAUGACUUUGUAACGCAAUUUUGCCAUCCCCCAACAUACUGUGCUUCUUUCUAAUACAUUC